This 575-nucleotide ribosomal RNA is filed under the name Blastobotrys capitulatus. RNAcentral describes it as "eukaryotic LSU rRNA". It matches the Rfam family "Eukaryotic large subunit ribosomal RNA", at positions 62 to 648 of the family's 3401-position model. Lineage: Eukaryota; Fungi; Ascomycota; Dipodascomycetes; Dipodascales; Trichomonascaceae. The record is from RNAcentral.
AAACCAACAGGGAUUGCCUCAGUAACGGCGAGCGAAGCGGCAAAAGCUCAAAUUUGAAAGCUAGCGUCUUUUAGGCGUUCGCAUUGUAAUUUGAAGAUGGCAACUUUGGUGGCGGCUCUUGCACAUGUUCCUUGGAACAGGACAUCAUAGAGGGUGAGAAUCCCGUACAUGGUGGGAGUACCGUUGCUUUGUAAAGUGCUUUCUAAGAGUCGAGUUGUUUGGGAAUGCAGCUCUAAGUGGGUGGUAAAUUCCAUCUAAGGCUAAAUAUAGGCGAGAGACCGAUAGCGAACAAGUACAGUGAUGGAAAGAUGAAAAGAACUUUGAAAAGAGAGUGAAAAAGUACGUGAAAUUGUUGAAAGGGAAGGGCUUGAGAUCAGUCUUGGCUUGUAGUGAUCAACUGUGUUUCGGCACUGUGCACUCGCUACUUGCUGGGUCAGCAUCAGUUUUGGUGGUAGGAUAAGAACAGUUGAAUGUGGCUUUUCUUCGGGAAAGUGUUAUAGCUUCUGUUGAUACUGCCAACCGGGACUGAGGACCGCGCUUCGUGCUAGGAUGCUGACAAAAUGAUCUUAAGCCAC